AAGAAGAAGAAGACGCUUCCGGCUUGGUUUGUUUUGGUUGAGUUUCCCUGACAGCGGCAGUUAGCAGCAGUUAGCGGUUAGCACUUAGCUUGAAGCUAACCAUGUCAGCCACAGAGGACGACACGGAGCUGCGGGACCUGCUGAUCCAGAACCUGGAGAACAACGGAGUCCUCAACAAACUCAAGGCAGAGAUGAGGGCAGCGGUGUUCCUGGCGAUGGAGGAGCAGGACAGACUGGAG
Molecule: long non-coding RNA, 239 nt
Organism: Perca fluviatilis (European perch)
Lineage: Eukaryota; Metazoa; Chordata; Actinopteri; Perciformes; Percidae
Exons: 2
Source: RefSeq, a predicted model, not a curated record